This 68-nucleotide transfer RNA is filed under the name Capnogryllacris melanocrania. RNAcentral describes it as "tRNA-Arg". Lineage: Eukaryota; Metazoa; Arthropoda; Insecta; Orthoptera; Gryllacrididae. The record is from RNAcentral.
AAAUGAAAAACAAAACCUUUAUUGCAAUCAGUUUCGACCUGAUCUUCUGAUGAAAUCAUCUUCAUUUA